GACGAACGCUGGCGGCGUGCUUAACACAUGCAAGUCGAACGGAAAGGCCCUGCUUGCAGGGUACUCGAGUGGCGAACGGGUGAGUAACACGUGGGUGAUCUGCCCUGCACUUCGGGAUAAGCCUGGGAAACUGGGUCUAAUACCGGAUAGGAGCCAUUUUUAGUGUGAUGGUUGGAAAGUUUUUUCGGUGUAGGAUGAGCUCGCGGCCUAUCAGCUUGUUGGUGGGGUAAUGGCCUACCAAGGCGGCGACGGGUAGCCGGCCUGAGAGGGUGGACGGCCACAUUGGGACUGAGAUACGGCCCAGACUCCUACGGGAGGCAGCAGUGGGGAAUAUUGCACAAUGGGCGCAAGCCUGAUGCAGCGACGCCGCGUGGGGGAUGACGGCCUUCGGGUUGUAAACUCCUUUCGCUAGGGACGAGGCUUUUUGUGACGGUACCUAGAGAAGAAGCACCGGCUAACUACGUG
Molecule: ribosomal RNA, 465 nt
Filed under: uncultured bacterium
Lineage: Bacteria
Description: partial 16S ribosomal RNA
Rfam family: Bacterial small subunit ribosomal RNA
Source: RNAcentral